RNAcentral lists this long non-coding RNA (2161 nucleotides) under Homo sapiens (human). RNAcentral describes it as "HSALNT0226082". The record is from RNAcentral. Lineage: Eukaryota; Metazoa; Chordata; Mammalia; Primates; Hominidae.
CCACAUGCCAGCUUGCUUGCCCCUGUUGGAUUCAGCGGAGGGAGAUAGGCCUUGCUAUACCUGUGGUGUCUGCCAAAGCUUCCUCCUGGCAAUUCUUGGGAGUGCUGAUACCUGGGCCACAGUUAGUCCAAGUUUAUCACUGAAGAUCCUAUCAAAGUUUUGUCUGAAAUUCCACUUUUGCCUUUUGUCCUAAGUGGUUGUGGACAUCUCCAGGGGCUGAUACCAAGGACUAGGAACAGCUGAGGGAGGCAGAAAGGUUCAGAGUACAUUUCUAUUUACAGGGAACAGAACACCGGCCUCCGAGAGUCCAUGGAGCAAUGGGAAAAUUGCAGUGAUUGCUCAUCACUGUGAAACUUCUACUUUGAAUACAGUAUCUUCUGGCAAGCACUGGGGACUGCAGUCGACAAUGCUGCUGAAUAUACCUGAGUACAUAAUAGGGUCUCACUGUGUUGACCAGGCUGCACUUGAACCUCUGACCUCAAGCAAUCCUUCUGCCUUGGCCUCCCAAAGUGCUGGAAUUAUAGUCAUGAGCCACCACACCCAGCCCCUAAGUGGACAUUUAAUCCAUGUACAUUCAAGGUUAUUAUUGUCUAUAUUUGAUAUAAUCAAAUACUUAGUCAUUUUAAAAUUAUUUUAAUAGUUUCAAAUAUAUUUGUUAAAUUUGCUCUAUUUGAAUCAGGAUCUAAAGAAGUUUCAAAGUUGCAUUGGCUAAUAUAUCUUUUUAGUUUUUAAAAAUAUAUAUGAAUUCCUUUCUCCUGCUUUUUAGCUCUGUGUAUUUGCUGAAUAAUCCAGGAUAUUCAUCCUGUUGAAUAUUCCAUACCUUGUGAUUAUCUUAUUAAACCCUACGGUGUUCUUGCAUGUUUCUCUCUUUGACAUAUUUCCUGUAUAUUAUCAUAAAAUAGAGAAUAUUUACCAAUUAGGCUCAUUUCUAGUUGGUUCUAUGUGCUCCAUAUUAUACUUUAUGUGUAUUCACUUCAUGUGAUAUAAAAAUUGAUCAGUAGGUUCAGGUAUUUUCAGCUGAUUCAUUCCAUAUAUGUUUUCUUCUGAAACAGUUACUCGUCAUUUUAGCUUCUAUUGGUUGUUAUCUUAGGCCCAUUAAUUCAUUGGGUUCCAAAUGAAUUUGUCUGUAUGUUAGUGUCCUAUGAAACAAUUCUUUUCUCCGAUGUUUUAUAACUUAAUUAAAAUGCCAGAUCUUGAUUUUUAGCAGUUGUAAUUUUUUUCUGUUAAUUUAAUUACAUUUUUAAGUUACAUAAAACAGCUACAUGAUUUCAAAGUCAAAAAUAUAAAAUAAGAUGUAUUCAGAAUAACUUUUAUCCCUGUGCCUUGCCCUGUUUCCUCCUCCUGCCAUAAGAAAAUUAUAUAUGGAUUAUGUUUUUGCCAUUUUAAGUAUGCUUAUUUAAAUAUUUAUAAAAUAUAUACUUAUAUAUGCAUGUAAAUCCAAUGUAUUUAUCCCUGUUUUAACAUAAAAAUAACAUUCUGGUGUCACUUUUUUGUUUCUUUUCAGUUAAGGUAUACCUUGUAGAUUACUUUAGAGUAGUAUUUGGAGAUAUUUCUCACUCAUUUUAUAGUUGCUUCAUACUCUAUUGCGUACAAGUUUUGCAAGUAGUACUCACUAAUUGUCAUUUGGUUACUUUCCUUUUUUUUUUUUUUUUUUGAGAUGGAGUCUUGCUCUGUCAUCCUGGCUGGAGUGCAGAGGCACGUUCUGGGCUCACUGAAACCUCUGCCUCCCAGGUUCAAGCGAUCCUCCCACCUCAGCCUCUCAAGUAGCUGGAAUUACAAGUGUGCACCACCACACCCGGCUAAUUUUUGUAUUUUUGGUAGAGAUGGGGUUUCGCCAUGUUAGCCACGCUGGUCUUGAAUUCCUGGCCUCAAGUGAUCUGCCCGCCUCAGCCUCCCAAAAUGCUGGGAUCACAGGCAUGAGCCACCACGCCCGGCCUACUUUCCGUUCUUUACUAUGAAAAACAAUGCUUCAAUGAAUAGACUUGUGUGCAUCAAUUAUUUUGUAUUUUUGCCAAUAUAUCUUUAGGAUAGAAGUAGGAUUGCUAGACCAAAAGUCAGUACCAUGUAAAUUUUUUAAGAUAUUGCCAAGAGUUGUACCAUUUUGUAUUCUCACCAACAAUGCAUAAGAGUGCCUCUCUCGGUGUUUUAGACAUGAAGUCCU